CCUCUGAAUGACCUGCAGGCGGCGCAGCUGAUCAGUCUCAGCAGCUCCUCACAGCAGAAGAAGAACAAGAACAAGCAAAGACGGCGCGGCUAGAUGUAAACAGACGUUGCUCCGCUGAAAACAUUAACGUUGGUCUGUAUGAAGGUCUGAACUGAAGAUGACAAGCUGUGGAGGAAAAGAGCCGCAGCAGGACAGUUAGUUCUUGAACAGUAAAUACGGAGAAGGAACCAGAUCCACCUCCACGAGGCCUGACCUGGUCUGGGAGGUCUUGGUCCAGGAGGUCCUGACGCUGGCCGAGUAGCAGCAGUGAUGGCGGGUCGUGGACGCGGUCGCAGGAUUCUGGGUUUCAGUGUGGAUUUAGCUGGUAGAGGAGACUCUGGGCCACCAGCUGCACAGCAGCCCACACCUGUGUUUCCAGUGAUGGAGCCGAAGCCCCUCCCCCUGACAGGUGGGGAGGAAGCAGAGUACCUGUUGGCCCUGAAGCAGGACUUCAGAGGAGCGAUGAGGAGUCUGCCCUGCUUCAUCCAGCCUGCUGCAGCACACAGAGAUGUGGAGCGUUACUCAGAUAAAUACCACAGCGGUGAGCCACCAGACGGUCUGAUGGACUGGACUCCAGACUGGAAGAGGUUUCCCAGAGAGCUCAGAGUCCAGGUCCGGAAGGAGCACAGAGACCGUCAGUACUCAGAUUACCUCCGUCUGUACUCCGAAUACCUCUGUGUUUGCGUGUCACUGAGCCUGUCAGGUGGAGGUCAGCCAGCCCAGAGGAAGACGAAGAAGAUGAAGAAGGAUGGAGAGAAGGAGGAGGUUCUGCUGAAGCUGGAGAUGGCGUUGGGGGUGGCUCUGAUGCAGAUACCUGCCAAAGCGGGGCAAAAAUGUUGUCCUGCUGAGCCCCGGAGAUCAGUGACGGUGAGAAGAGGAAGCCCCAGAUGAUUCUGGAUUAUAACCGCUACAAAGGAGGCGUGGAUACCAUGGAUGACGUAUAUGAUUUCCACAUACAGGAGGAAGGCCAGGCGGUGGCCUGUGGCGUGUUUUUCAACAUGCUGGACAUCAGUGCCCUUAAUGCACCGCUGUGGAUCCAGCAUGGAACCAGGGGAAGUCCCCCAAAUGAAGGCUGAUCCUCGAGGAGCUGGGGAAGAAGCUUGUCAUCCCAUUGAUGGUCCAGCGACAACGCCUACCUAAAUCAGCAGGUGCUUCUCGCCUAAUACUUGAGACUCAGUCAGCUUCAAGUGACCCUGCCUCCAUCUCAGCCAGUCCCAGCACCAGCUCCAACCCCAGCAACACCGCUUCUACCCGUGUGAGGAGGCAGUGUGCACUUUGCUCUGGUAGAAGAAUUGUGCAAUGCACCUGCAAAAACUGCGGAAAGCCUCUUUGCAAGGAACAUUACUGUACAGUUUGCAGCUCCUGCCUCCUCUGAACCGUUCACAUGAUAUGUCGUCAUUGUUGUUGUUUUUGUUUAUUUCUAGAUAUUGUUCUUGUUCAGUUUUCUGUUAGCCUGUAUGGUGUUCUAAUAAAUGGCUUGGCUUGUUA
This is an RNA transcript of Melanotaenia boesemani (Boeseman's rainbowfish), 1527 nucleotides long. It is a transcript of the gene named RNA polymerase III subunit GL b, with no coding region annotated. NCBI's taxonomy places the organism in Eukaryota, Metazoa, Chordata, Actinopteri, Atheriniformes, Melanotaeniidae. The record is from RefSeq and is a predicted model, not a curated record. The transcript has 8 exons.